Molecule: non-coding RNA, 138 nt
Filed under: Clostridium disporicum
Lineage: Bacteria; Bacillati; Bacillota; Clostridia; Eubacteriales; Clostridiaceae
Description: MoCo sequence
Rfam family: Molybdenum/Tungsten riboswitch aptamer (Moco RNA motif)
Source: RNAcentral
UAGUUUUGUGUUUUCUAGUGUGUAAAAGUCUAAGGAAUUUUCUAUGACUUUUACGCCUGAAUGUUUAUCAUUCACAGGGCAGUAAUUGAAAAGUUAUUGUCUCCACGUAUUUUGGGAAGGAAAAUAAGUAGAUUUAAU